GUCCAGGGGCGGGAAUCGAACCCACAACUUCUCCGCUUACCGGGCAGAUGCCAUGUCCACUAGGCUACCCUGGA
Molecule: transfer RNA, 74 nt
Filed under: Cordylochernes scorpioides
Lineage: Eukaryota; Metazoa; Arthropoda; Arachnida; Pseudoscorpiones; Chernetidae
Description: tRNA-Thr
Source: RNAcentral